This is a long non-coding RNA of Passer domesticus (house sparrow), 372 nucleotides long. RefSeq lists it as uncharacterized. The record is from RefSeq and is a predicted model, not a curated record. NCBI's taxonomy places the organism in Eukaryota, Metazoa, Chordata, Aves, Passeriformes, Passeridae. The transcript has 3 exons.
AAGCAACUCAGGAUCAAAGCUUCACCAUGCUCACACAUUGCUGCAAAUUAACAACAACCUUAAACUUUUGGCAAGAACUUCUAAAAUAUUUGAAAAUUAUCUUCCUGUCUCUCACCUCACACAUAUCCUUUAAGUGCUCCAUCCCGCAGCAGACACAGUACAAAGCAGAGCAAAAAGAUUUCCUGCGUCUUGCUGGAGCAGUAGACUUCAUAUGUAUUUCCUUAAACCUCUUUUUUGCUCAACUCCCAUUGUUUUCUGCAAUAAUGUGAUGAGUCAUAUGUAGCAUGACUGUCUUUCCUACCUAUAAUGCCAACAUAAAACUUCUUCCCAAUUCUUCAUGUACGCAUUUGAUUUUUUUUUUACUGCACCCCA